This 333-nucleotide ribosomal RNA is filed under the name uncultured Pseudomonadota bacterium. Its description in RNAcentral is "bacterial SSU rRNA". It matches the Rfam family "Bacterial small subunit ribosomal RNA", at positions 1152 to 1482 of the family's 1533-position model. The record is from RNAcentral. Lineage: Bacteria; Pseudomonadati; Pseudomonadota.
CCGCAGUUAAUGCGGAGGAAGGUGGGGAUGACGUCAAGUCCUCAUGGCCCUUAUAUCCAGGGCUACACACGUGCUCCAAUGGGCGGAACAAAGGGUCGCGAACCCGCGAGGGGGAGCUAAUCCCAGAAAACCGUUCUUAGUUCGGAUUGGAGUCUGCAACUCGACUCCAUGAAGUUGGAAUCGCUAGUAAUCGCGGAUCAGAACGCCGCGGUGAAUACGUUCCCGGGCCUUGUACACACCGCCCGUCACACCACGAAAGCUUGUUGUACCAGAAGUCGUUGGGCUAACCCGCAAGGGAGGUAGAUGCCGAAGGUAUGGCAGGUGAUUGGGGUG